GAACGCACAUUGCGCCCGCCAGUAUUCUGGCGGGCAUGCCUGUCCGAGCGUCAUUUCAACCCUCGGGCCCCCCUCUGCGGGCGGCCCGGCGUUGGGGCUCAGGCGCCGUCUCUGCUCGGCGCCUGUCCCCUAAAUGCAGUGGCGGCCUCGCCGCUGCCUCCUCCGCGUAGUAGCACAAACCUCGCGGCUGGAAGGCGGCGCGGCCACGCCGUAAAACCCCCCAACUUUACCAAGGUUGACCUCAGAUCAGGUAGGAAUACCCGCUGAACUUAAG
RNAcentral lists this unclassified non-coding RNA (274 nucleotides) under Trichothecium crotocinigenum. Its description in RNAcentral is "sequence contains 5.8S rRNA gene". The stretch from base 1 to 53 matches the Rfam family "5.8S ribosomal RNA", at positions 102 to 154 of the family's 154-position model. Lineage: Eukaryota; Fungi; Ascomycota; Sordariomycetes; Hypocreales. The record is from RNAcentral.